RNAcentral lists this ribosomal RNA (1450 nucleotides) under uncultured bacterium. RNAcentral's name for it is "partial 16S ribosomal RNA". It matches the Rfam family "Bacterial small subunit ribosomal RNA". The record is from RNAcentral.
AGAGUUUGAUCCUGGCUCAGGAUGAACGCUGGCGGCGUGCUUAACACAUGCAAGUCGAGCGAAGCACUCUGACUUCUUCGGAAAGAAGAGUGACUGAGCGGCGGACGGGUGAGUAACGCGUGGGUAACCUGCCUCAUACAGGGGGAUAACAGUUAGAAAUGACUGCUAAUACCGCAUAAGACCACAGCACCGCAUGGUGCAGGGGUAAAAACUCCGGUGGUAUGAGAUGGACCCGCGUCUGAUUAGCUAGUUGGUGAGGUAACGGCCCACCAAGGCGACGAUCAGUAGCCGACCUGAGAGGGUGACCGGCCACAUUGGGACUGAGACACGGCCCAAACUCCUACGGGAGGCAGCAGUGGGGAAUAUUGCACAAUGGGCGAAAGCCUGAUGCAGCGACGCCGCGUGAAGGAUGAAGUAUUUCGGUAUGUAAACUUCUAUCAGCAGGGAAGAAAAUGACGGUACCUGACUAAGAAGCCCCGGCUAACUACGUGCCAGCAGCCGCGGUAAUACGUAGGGGGCAAGCGUUAUCCGGAUUUACUGGGUGUAAAGGGAGCGUAGACGGCUUGGCAAGUCUGAAGUGAAAGGCAUGGGCUCAACCUGUGGACUGCUUUGGAAACUGUCAUGCUAGAGUGUCGGAGAGGUAAGCGGAAUUCCUAGUGUAGCGGUGANAUGCGUAGAUAUUAGGAGGAACACCAGUGGCGAAGGCGGCUUACUGGACGAUGACUGACGUUGAGGCUCGAAAGCGUGGGGAGCAACAGGAUUAGAUUCUUGGUAGUCCACUCCUAAACGAUGAAUAGUAGGGUCGAGGUGGCUCAGCCAUUAGUUGCCCAAGCGUAUACGAUACGUAUACCACCUGGGGAGUACGUUCGCGAGAAUGCCACUCGUAGGAACGAGCGGGGAGCCGCACAAGUGGUGGAGCAUUUGUAGUCAUUUGCAGCCAUGCUAAGCACUGUACAUGAUAUUGACAUUUCGGUGAUAGGUCAUCAAUCGGACGUUGUCUUCGGAUCAGCGGUUACAGCUGGGGCAUGUAUUUCGUCAGCUCGCGUCGUGAGAGAGUGGGGUCAGUCUCGCAAUGAGCACAACCCCGAUCACCAUUAGACAGCAUUUUGGAUGGGCAGUCUAGAGAGACUGUUCCGGGAUAACACUGGAGGAAGCUGGGGAGGAUCUCUAAUAAUCAUGCGCAUUAUGACCACGGGCUACACACGUGGUACUGUUGUGAAAACGAAGGGACACUGAGUUGUGAGUCUGUCCACAUCUCAUGAGACAAGGUAUCCAUUCGGAAUUUAGUCGUCACUGGAUCACUAAGUAGUUGGUAUGGAUAAUUCUGAGGGAUUAGAAUGUCUCGCAGGAUACGUUCACCGGGUCCAGUACACAUCGUGAGUCAGGGCGAAUUUGUGGACGAUUCAGGGCUAGUCCAUUAUUGAGGUUAUUGUGGUUGCAGUCUGGUUUG